Molecule: non-coding RNA, 219 nt
Organism: Caenorhabditis elegans
Lineage: Eukaryota; Metazoa; Nematoda; Chromadorea; Rhabditida; Rhabditidae
Source: Ensembl
UUGGAAAGGGUGGGGUAGAGAAAGCUUUUAGUUUUAUCCAGAAGUUUUCUUGAUUUUUCCAGAUCUUUAUGUCUGAUGAAAUGUUGUUUUCCUUUUUUCUUUUAUAUCUUCUAAAAAUGCAAAAACUCGCCUCUUCAGUUUGUUUUUCGAAGAGAAGUUUUCCUUCUCGUCUGUCUACUUAACAAUCAGAUUUGAUUUACAGAAUCUUCAAAAGUGGAA